GAUGAACGCUGGCGGCGUGCCUAAUACAUGCAAGUCGAGCGAAUGGAUUAAGAGCUUGCUCUUAUGAAGUUAGCGGCGGACGGGUGAGUAACACGUGAGUAACCUGCCCAUAAGACUGGGAUAACUCCGGGAAACCGGGGCUAAUACCGGAUAAUAUUUUGAACUGCAUGGCUCAAAAUUGAAAGGCGGCUUCGGCUGUCACUUAUGGAUGGACCCGCGUCGCAUUAGCUAGUUGGUGAGGUAACGGCUCACCAAGGCAACGAUGCGUAGCCGACCUGAGAGGGUGAUCGGCCACACUGGGACUGAGACACGGCCCAGACUCCUACGGGAGGCAGCAGUAGGGAAUCUUCCGCAAUGGACGAAAGUCUGACGGAGCAACGCCGCGUGAGUGAUGAAGGCUUUCGGGUCGUAAAACUCUGUUGUUAGGGAAGAACAAGUGCUAGUUGAAUAAACUGGCACCUUGACGGUACCUAACCAGAAAGCCACGGCUAACUACGUGCCAGCCGCCGCUGUAA
This 515-nucleotide ribosomal RNA is filed under the name uncultured bacterium. Its description in RNAcentral is "partial 16S ribosomal RNA". It matches the Rfam family "Bacterial small subunit ribosomal RNA", at positions 28 to 523 of the family's 1533-position model. The record is from RNAcentral.